CCUGCGGAGGGAUCAUUACUGAGUUUACGCUCUAUAACCCUUUGUGAACAUACCUAUAACUGUUGCUUCGGCGGGUAGGGUCUCCGUGACCCUCCCGGCCUCCCGCCCCCGGGCGGGUCGGCGCCCGCCGGAGGAUAACCAAACUCUGAUUUAACGACGUUUCUUCUGAGUGGUACAAGCAAAUAAUCAAAACUUUUAACAACGGAUCUCUUGGUUCUGGCAUCGAUGAAGAACGCAGCGAAAUGCGAUAAGUAAUGUGAAUUGCAGAAUUCAGUGAAUCAUCGAAUCUUUGAACGCACAUUGCGCCCGCCAGCAUUCUGGCGGGCAUGCCUGUUCGAGCGUCAUUUCAACCCUCAAGCUCUGCUUGGUGUUGGGGCCCUACAGCUGAUGUAGGCCCUCAAAGGUAGUGGCGGACCCUCCCGGAGCCUCCUUUGCGUAGUAACUUUACGUCUCGCACUGGGAUCCGGAGGGACUCUUGCCGUAAAACCCCCCAAUUUCCAAAGGUUGACCUCGGAUCAGGUAGGAAUACCCGCUGAACUUAAGCAUAUCAAUAA
This is a ribosomal RNA of 554 nucleotides. The stretch from base 191 to 344 matches the Rfam family "5.8S ribosomal RNA".